RNAcentral lists this ribosomal RNA (373 nucleotides) under uncultured organism. Its description in RNAcentral is "partial 16S ribosomal RNA". It matches the Rfam family "Bacterial small subunit ribosomal RNA", at positions 527 to 896 of the family's 1533-position model. The record is from RNAcentral.
GUAGGUGGCAAGCGUUGUCCGGAAUUAUUGGGCGUAAAGCGCGCGCAGGCGGUUCUUUAAGUCUGAUGUGAAAGCCCACGGCUCAACCGUGGAGGGUCAUUGGAAACUGGAGAACUUGAGUACAGAAGAGGAAAGCGGAAUUCCACGUGUAGCGGUGAAAUGCGUAGAGAUGUAGAGGAACACCAGUGGCGAAGGCGGCUUUCUGGUCUGUAACUGACGCUGAGGCGCGAAAGCGUGGGGAGCAAACAGGAUUAGAUACCCUGGUAGUCCACGCCGUAAACGAUGAGUGCUAAGUGUUAGGGGGUUUUCCGCCCCCCUUAGUGCUGCAGCUAACGCAUUAAGCACUCCGCCUGGGAGUACGGCCGCAAGGCUG